Non-coding RNA from Sus scrofa (pig), 365 nucleotides. NCBI's taxonomy places the organism in Eukaryota, Metazoa, Chordata, Mammalia, Artiodactyla, Suidae. The record is from RefSeq and is a predicted model, not a curated record.
CCCACGUCUCUGCAAUCAAACACCCUUCCACCACAGCGGCCUUCCAGGUGGACUAAGAGAGAGGAGAUGGGACAGUCAACAGAGCAGCUCCUCGGGGCUGGCUAAUUCAGGGAGGCGGAAGCAAAACUGAGAAAAAAAAUUGCUGUAAAUGCUCCAGCCUAAAGACGUUACUCUGAAACAAAUUAUUAAAAGGAAGCAAAAGAUCACAAUUCAAUAAAAGCCUUUUGAUUCUGUCCAUAACUUUGUUCUUCAAAAACAAAUCAACAAAAAUCCUGGGGACCUGACACCUAUGGUCAAUUAAUCUUUGACAAAGGAGCCCAGAACAUAAAAUGGGAAAAAGUCUAUUCAGCAAGAAUUGCUGGGAA